This 459-nucleotide ribosomal RNA is filed under the name uncultured bacterium. RNAcentral's name for it is "partial 16S ribosomal RNA". It matches the Rfam family "Bacterial small subunit ribosomal RNA", at positions 338 to 795 of the family's 1533-position model. The record is from RNAcentral.
CCUACGGGAGGCAGCAGUGAGGAAUAUUGGUCAAUGGCCGAGAGGCUGAACCAGCCAAGUCGCGUGAGGGAAGACGGCCCUACGGGUUGUAAACCUCUUUUGUCGGGGAGCAAAGCGAGUCACGUGUGACUCAUUGAGAGUACCCGAAGAAAAAGCAUCGGCUAACUCCGUGCCAGCAGCCGCGGUAAUACGGAGGAGGCGAGCGUUAUCCGGAUUUAUUGGGUUUCAAGGGUGCGCAGGCGGAGGUGCAAGUCAGCGGUCAAAUUGCGGGGCUCAACCCCGUACUGCCGUUGAAACUGGAUCCCGUGAGUGCGCGAGAAGUAUGCAGAAUGCGUGGUGUAGCGGUGAAAUGCAGAGAGAGCACGCAGAACUCCGAUGGCGAAGGCAGCAUAACGGCGCGCAACUGACGCUCAUGCACGAAAGCGUGGGUAUCGAACAGGAUUAGAUACCCCGGUAGUC